RNAcentral lists this ribosomal RNA (465 nucleotides) under Vreelandella stevensii. Its description in RNAcentral is "partial 16S ribosomal RNA". It matches the Rfam family "Bacterial small subunit ribosomal RNA", at positions 338 to 795 of the family's 1533-position model. Lineage: Bacteria; Pseudomonadati; Pseudomonadota; Gammaproteobacteria; Oceanospirillales; Halomonadaceae. The record is from RNAcentral.
CCUACGGGGGGCUGCAGUGGGGAAUAUUGGACAAUGGGCGAAAGCCUGAUCCAGCCAUGCCGCGUGUGUGAAGAAGGCCUUCGGGUUGUAAAGCACUUUCAGUGGGGAAGAAAGCCUUGGGGCUAAUACCCUCGAGGAAGGACAUCACCCACAGAAGAAGCACCGGCUAACUCCGUGCCAGCAGCCGCGGUAAUACGGAGGGUGCGAGCGUUAAUCGGAAUUACUGGGCGUAAAGCGCGCGUAGGCGGUCUGAUAAGCCGGUUGUGAAAGCCCCGGGCUCAACCUGGGAACGGCAUCCGGAACUGUCAGGAUAGAGUGCAGGAGAGGAAGGUAGAAUUCCCGGUGUAGCGGUGAAAUGCGUAGAGAUCGGGAGGAAUACCAGUGGCGAAGGCGGCCUUCUGGACUGACACUGACGCUGAGGUGCGAAAGCGUGGGUAGCAAACAGGAUUAGAUACCCCGGUAUUC